Molecule: ribosomal RNA, 545 nt
Filed under: Paenibacillus sp.
Lineage: Bacteria; Bacillati; Bacillota; Bacilli; Caryophanales; Paenibacillaceae
Description: bacterial SSU rRNA
Rfam family: Bacterial small subunit ribosomal RNA
Source: RNAcentral
ACUCCUACGGGAGGCAGCAGUAGGGAAUCUUCCGCAAUGGACGAAAGUCUGACGGAGCAACGCCGCGUGAGUGAUGAAGGUUUUCGGAUCGUAAAGCUCUGUUGCCAGGGAAGAACGUCCGGUAGAGUAACUGCUACCGGAGUGACGGUACCUGAGAAGAAAGCCCCGGCUAACUACGUGCCAGCAGCCGCGGUAAUACGUAGGGGGCAAGCGUUGUCCGGAAUUAUUGGGCGUAAAGCGCGCGCAGGCGGUCAUUUAAGUCUGGUGUUUAAACCUUGGGCUCAACCUGAGGUCGCACUGGAAACUGGGUGACUUGAGUACAGAAGAGGAAAGUGGAAUUCCACGUGUAGCGGUGAAAUGCGUAGAUAUGUGGAGGAACACCAGUGGCGAAGGCGACUUUCUGGGCUGUAACUGACGCUGAGGCGCGAAAGCGUGGGGAGCAAACAGGAUUAGAUACCCUGGUAGUCCACGCCGUAAACGAUGAGUGCUAGGUGUUAGGGGUUUCGAUACCCUUGGUGCCGAAGUUAACACAGUAAGCACUCCGC